Molecule: ribosomal RNA, 381 nt
Filed under: uncultured bacterium
Lineage: Bacteria
Description: bacterial SSU rRNA
Rfam family: Bacterial small subunit ribosomal RNA
Source: RNAcentral
AUUGAACGCUGGCGGCAUGCCUUACACAUGCAAGUCGAACGGCAGCACGGGAGCAAUCCUGGUGGCGAGUGGCGAACGGGUGAGUAAUAUAUCGGAACGUGCCCAGUCGUGGGGAUAACGUAGCGAAAGUUACGCUAAUACCGCAUACGAUCUAAGGAUGAAAGCGGGGGAUCGCAAGACCUCGCGCGAUUGGAGCGGCCGAUAUCAGAUUAGGUAGUUGGUGAGGUAAAGGCUCACCAAGCCGACGAUCUGUAGCUGGUCUGAGAGGACGACCAGCCACACUGGGACUGAGACACGGCCCAGACUCCUACGGGAGGCAGCAGUGGGGAAUUUUGGACAAUGGGCGCAAGCCUGAUCCAGCAAUGCCGCGUGCAGGAUGAA